CCUACGGGUGGCAGCAGUAGGGAAUUUUUCACAAUGGGCGAAAGCCUGAUGGAGCAACGCCGCGUGCAGGAUGAAGGCCUUCGGGUUGUAAACUGCUUUUAUAAGCGAGAAAUAUGAUGGUAACUUAUGAAUAAGGAUCGGCUAACUACGUGCCAGCAGCCGCGGUCAUACGUAGGAUCCGAGCAUUAUCCGGAGUGACUGGGUGUAAAGAGUUGCGUAGGUGGCAUAAUAAGUAGCUAGUGAAAUCUGGUGGCUCAACCAUUCAGACUAUUAGCUAAACUGUUAAGCUCGAGACCGUUAGGGGUAACUGGAAUGUCUAGUGUAGGAGUGAAAUCCGUAGAUAUGAGAAGGAACACCAAUAGCGUAGGCAGGUUGCUGGGACGGUUCUGACACUAAGGCACGAAAGCGUAGGGAGCAAACGGGAUUAGAUACCCUAGUAGUC
This 442-nucleotide ribosomal RNA is filed under the name uncultured bacterium. RNAcentral describes it as "partial 16S ribosomal RNA". It matches the Rfam family "Bacterial small subunit ribosomal RNA", at positions 338 to 795 of the family's 1533-position model. The record is from RNAcentral.